Trichosurus vulpecula (common brushtail) is the source of this 83-nucleotide non-coding RNA. The record is from the annotation of a RefSeq genome assembly. Lineage: Eukaryota; Metazoa; Chordata; Mammalia; Diprotodontia; Phalangeridae.
GUCAGGAUGGCCGAGUGGUCUAAGGCGCCGCGUUCAGAUCGCAGUCUCCCCUAGAGCCGUGGGUUCGAAUCCCACUUCUGACA